CUAGUGGGGAGUGCGGCAAUAUUUUGGUCGCUUUGGAAAUGUAGAAAUGAUAUUAUUUUCAGAUCUAAAAAGAUUCAGGAUCCGAUAGUUUUUAUACGAUUGAUGUGUAACUGGAUUGUGGAUUGGUCAAUAUUGCAGAAAAAAAAGCCGGAGGAAAGACUAAUGCAGCUGGGAGCAAAAGUAAUAGAGCAGGUGGCAAGUGAGGUGUACAAGGCAAUGCAAGGAUGGAGACUGGUGUGCGACGUCUGGAGGCCUGAGCAGCGAAGAGAACCUUUCUUCUUACUUUGUGUUGGCUUGUAA
RNAcentral lists this ribosomal RNA (300 nucleotides) under Triticum aestivum (bread wheat). Its description in RNAcentral is "partial small subunit ribosomal RNA". The record is from RNAcentral. Lineage: Eukaryota; Viridiplantae; Streptophyta; Magnoliopsida; Poales; Poaceae.